Capsicum annuum is the source of this 833-nucleotide long non-coding RNA. RefSeq lists it as uncharacterized. The record is from RefSeq and is a predicted model, not a curated record. Lineage: Eukaryota; Viridiplantae; Streptophyta; Magnoliopsida; Solanales; Solanaceae. The transcript is spliced from 2 exons.
CUAUAUAGGUAUAUAGACAUGUACCUCAAGGAACAUCCUGACUUAACAGAAGAAGAAAGAAGAAGCAUAUGCAGAAAAAUAGAGCACCGCAAUCUAUCACAGGAAGCGCGAUCACAUGCGUUGAAAAAGAUAGGCUGCCAGAUAACAUCAGGACACUAUUUAUUCUUCUUGAACAGGUCAAUAUGACGAGGUUACUAAUUUCAGCUGGUUCAAGUUUCCAGAGAACUAAGUCACAGACAGUGGCGGAGCCAGGAUUUUCAUUGAGGGGCUUCAGAAGUAAACAUACGGAUUUGUCGAAGGGGUUCAACAUUUACUAUAUAUACAUAAAAAUAUUUUUGAUCGUGUAAAAAUAGUAUAAUUUUUCGUCGAAGGGGGUUCGGAUGAACCGCUGAUUACGAGGUGGAUCCGCCACUGGUCACAGACCAUAAUGAAAGUCAGCAGUGGUUUAGGCAAGAGUUGGGUGAAUUCCUCCCAGAAGGAAAUGAAAGCAAUAAAACAGGAGAUUGAGAUGUUAAAGGAUCAAGUUGGUGAACUGCAACAACCUAGAAUGGAACUUCAAAGGCAAACGGAAAAACCUGUCUUUUGUUAGUUUGUUAAGUUUCAUGUCUGCAAGCAAGGGAUCUGGUUCCUUAAUUCUAAUGAAUGUUCACUGAUACUGAAGCUUGAAUUCCUGAAAUAUUCCCAAGUUUUUUUUUUUGGUUAUCCGUCUUAUGUUGCGGAGUUUUUGACACUGAACCCUUAGUAAAACCACUCACUCCUAGCCAUUCUGGAUGUAUGAUUCAAGCUAUAAUCUCUGCUUCAUCUUUUAAAUUUAUUAUCAACAAAUUAAUAGG